Molecule: non-coding RNA, 4615 nt
Organism: Equus caballus (horse)
Lineage: Eukaryota; Metazoa; Chordata; Mammalia; Perissodactyla; Equidae
Source: RefSeq, a predicted model, not a curated record
UCUAAGAUUAAGAAAAAAUUCUCCUAGAUUUUCUUCUUAUGCUUUUACGGUUUGAUGUUUCAGAUUUAUGUCUUUGAUCCAUUCAGAAUUAACUUUAUUAGAAGGUGUGGGUAAUGACCCUAUGUUCUCAUUCUUCCCUCUGGCUGGCUAACCACUGGUCUCACCACACAGCACUGCGUGAGAGGAUUUUAAAGUAGUGUGAGAAGUUCUAUAGCAGUGAGAGCAGGUGCAAAGGCACUCUGGAGGAUCCCAGUGAGGAAUUCUGACACCCUCCUUUGCCUGGGCUGUCUCUCUUUCCUCUUCCUUCCUGCCCCGACCUGGGCUGCUCUUGAUUUUUGUUGCUCUGUCUAAUUCCUGGAUGUUCCUACGGGGUCUCCUAUUCCCAGAGUGAACUGGAUUAGCCUUGCUGCUUGCUGUUGGAAGAAAAGAGUGAGUCGGUACACGCAUGUGUCUAUGUGGUGAGGCCUUGACAGAGCUGUAACUAAACUCAAGGUGCGCAUGAGGCUGGAUGAUUCCUGUUAUUUAACAUUCAAGCUUCUUGGGCCUUUGAGUAGAGGCUGACUUCUUGGCGAGGUGACGGAGAUGCUCUUGGAGAUUGAAGACUGCAUGUAUUUUUCAAAUCAUUUUGCUGUUGAUCUAACAUUUAUUGUACAAUGUUGUUUAGAAGUUGGUAUAAUAUGUACUUAAUGAGUAUGCUUGUAUUUCUUUGUGUAAAUGUAUUGUUUAUCAAUACAAGGUACUCGUGUUGUGGAUUUUUUAUUCUUUGCUUAGUCCUUAGACAAUAGGGACUCUGAAGUCAGUCUUAAAGCUGACCUUAUUUCUCUUGUGGCAGCAACUUUCUUAGGAAGGCAUGGAUGAUUUUUAAAAAAAUUACUUGGAAUAAAGCUUGGCAUAAAGCAUGAUAUCUAGAAAGCUGAAGCUGGCACCAGGCUUAGUUCACUCUUCUUUUCUCUUGGCACACCUCCUCCACCCCCUUCUUGAUCCAUGUGCAGUCUCUUAUCCCCCUGAGAUAUCCCCCUGCCCCUGAAUCUGGAACCUUCAACCCUCCUCACCUUCAUAGCUUCUACCCUCCGUCUUAUAAACACAUUCAAGCCUCUCAUCUUUACCAACAAAGAAGUAAACCAAUCCCUCUCAGCCUUUCCAAUCCCCCUUUGAACUAGUGCUUACUCUCUUAUCCUCCUUCUUAUUCAAGUUUCUUGAAAGAAUAGUCUCCUCUUGCUUUCACUAGCUCAUUCCUCAACCUGCUGUUGUCAGGCUCACCCGUGUCAUACCAUUAAUAUGCCUCUUGUUUGGGUCAACGAUGACAUCCUCUAGUUGCUACAUCCAUUGGAUAUUUUCCAGUCUCUACCCUAAUGGAACAUUCUCUGCUGGAUUUGUUCAUUAGGCACUGCUCAUUGCAUCCUUCUUCCCAAUGAUGACAUGUUCCUCUCUUUCUUUGACUAGUCUUUCUCUCUCAAAGUUGGUUCUUUCUUCCUCUUCCCAAUGCUUAAAUAUCAAGUGGUCCCCAAGGUUCUGGCCUGAACCAUUGUUUUUAUGGCUUCACAUACUCUUUGUGGGUGAUAUCGUGCACUCUUUGGGUACCAACUGCUGUAUAAUUGGAAACAACUCCUCUAUCUUUAUAUCCCAGCAGACCUCCACCCUGAUCCCUAGAUUAAAGAAUCCAUCCACUUCUUGUGACCCUACAGGUCCUCAAACGCAGAUGAUGACUGGACUCCUUACCUGCCUUCUCCGUUAGCUCCUCCUCCUCUAUUCUCCAUCUGAGUCAACAGCAUCACCCUUCACUCAGUUGCCAAGAAGGACCCCAGACCAGAGGCCUUAUUGCCUCUUCUCCUUUCUUCCUCCUUAUAUCCAAAGGAGCACCAGCUUCCAGCGAUUUCACUUUGAUCUGUCGUCUUCUCUGCCACAGUUCAGGUCUUCAGCCAUUGUCACCUGGAAUAUUUUUACUUGAUCACUUUGAUUCUGGUCAGACUCAUUUUUUGUAAAGUUCCCAGAGGAAUCUUUUAAAAAUGCACGUCUUACUAGGCCACUCCUCUUCUGUGGCUCCUUGUUGCUUGUUGGGAUAAGGCCAGUCUGUGGGCUGUACCAUAAGACCAUCUGAUCCGCCCUGCCUCCACCUCUACCCAUCUCUUGCUUCUCCUUGCCUGACACUUCUUUCGCAUUCCACAGUGCAUACAGUGGUGUUCCCUGGCCUCUGUUCCUUUGUUCAGGCUGUCCCCUCAGACCAUCCCCCUCUAUCUUUGCCUGAAGUGAUGUUUACUCUCCCCUAGGACAGCUCAGGCAUCACCCCCUGGGGAAAUUCUCGCUUUCUGUUUAGGUGGCCUUCAUAGGAGAUUCAGAAUACUCAGCACCUAGCUUUAUCAUGGCACCUACCCUUUUUUUUCUUCUAAAUAAUUAUUACUUAGGCAUCUCUCCCCCUACACUGGGCUAAAGGGCAAAGAUAGAUACUUUCAUUUUGUAUCUCCUGUACUGAAUUCAGAGCUUAAGACAUGUGUUAACUCAGUCAAUGCUGGUUGAAUUAAUCUUGAAUGAGUGAAUGAAUGAUUGAAAUUCAACAACUGUUGGUAUACAGAUAAACAUGACGUUGUUGACUCAGAAAAUAUCUCAGGAAGAAUUUUUUAUUAAGCCAUAUAUAAAUACAAAUUCACAUCCUUGCUUAUAUUUAUCAAGAAUCUGAGGCAAGAACCUUAGAGAAUUCUACAUUUUUCUGCCAUUCCCUUUUUCCAUUGGCCUGAAUUUCUUGUUUGCUGGAGACUGUUAAACAUACUUAUAUCCUCUUAUUGUGAUGCUACUGAAAGAUAGAUUGAGAGAGGAAUAUUGGCAAAUGUAAGUAGCACAUUGAUAUGGCUUCUUUAAAAUUUGCUUUCAAGGCUGUUCUAAGCCAUUUUGAUAAAAAAGUUAACUAUUUUUUUUAAACAUCCAGAAGUCAUAGGUAGCUUACCCCAGUACCAGGUGACAUUACUUGAGGGGAGGGACAUAGCAGUUGUGGCACCCUCAUUAACUUGUCUGUGGAGCAGUUGUCCUAUGGAGUGGCCCCCCUCUUGAAUUAGUAUGUUACUAGUAGAGUCUCUUAAGAGACCAGACUGCAAUAGGAGCACUGCAUGCCCAGUGGUUGAUAUACGGUCUUCAAUCAUUGCUCCAUAUUACCGAGCCUUCAUCCACACUCAGUCAGCUAGCACAGUCAGCCGCAUUAGGAAAUGAAGGCCAGCUUUUGUUCAGCAAUGCGUUUGAUAAAUUCAAUCUUCUAAACCUGGAGCUAGGUGAUGAUAUGGCUAGUUUGUGUUCAAAUGGAGAAUAAUUUGUUGUGAUUUUUCCUGUGCAGUGUCACUCGUGCUGAAUCUCAUUACCUGGUGGAGGUGAUUGCUCACCAAGAUCUCUGGCCUCCAUUCUCUCCUGAUGAGUCUGCCCACCCUUCCCGUUCUCCAUAUUUUACCGCAAUUUUCAGCUGAUAUCAGCAUGUAGCGUGUCCUGCUAACAUUUGUUCGCUUUCUCAUCGUACUGCACUGGCUGGGACUUCCAGAACACGGCUGAGCAGAAGUGAUGACUGUGAACAUCUUUUCCUUUCAAGAAGGCAUUUCAAUGUUACAAAGUAAGUUACAGCAAAUCCUACAGCUUCAAGGAAUUCUAUGAACAAGCUGAGGGAAGUUGGAAGUGGACCCUUCCCCACUCAAGCCUCUGCUGAGAACCCAGCCUUGUCUGAUACCUUGAUUAUAGCCUUGCAAGACUCGAAGCAGAGAACCCAUCUACUAACUCGUGUCUGGAUUUCUGCUCCAUGGAAACUGAGAUAAUAGGACUGAACGUAAAGCUGCAUUCCUGUUGCCGUGGUGUACCUCUAAGCCGCCUACUCUUCCGUGCUGGGCACCCCUCACAUUUUACUAUGCAUUUUUCUGAUCACAGACAUCGGGGUGGCUCCAACUCCCCUUUCCACAAAUGGUGCUGCAGUGACCAUCCUAAAGCGUGUCUCCUUAUGACAACGAUUCUUAACUGGGGAGGAUGUUGCACCUCCAGCGACAUUUGGCAAUGUCUGGGGACAUGCUUGCUUGUCACAGCUGGGGGAAGGUGCUGUGGGCAUCUAGUGGGUAGAGGCCCGGGAUGCUGCUAAACGUCCUGCAAUGCAGAGGAUGGCCCCACAACAAAGAAUUAUUCGGUCCCAAAUGUCACUAGUGCUGAGCGAAGUUGAGAAACUCUGCCUUAUGGACACGCGGGAGGAUUUCUUGGGACAGAUUCCCAGGAUCAGGCUUGCUGGCCACAGUGUGUGUGUACUUGAUUGGAGCAAGUCGUAGCAGACUGUUGCCCAGUGUGGCUGCACCCAUGUGUGUUCCCGCUGCAGCCCACGAGCCUUCACACCCACGUCCCUGCCCGUGCCAGGAUUACCCAGCCUUUGAAGUUUUGCUGUCUAAUGUGUGUAAAUUCAGAUUCAUUGUUGUUUUACUUUACAUUCCUCUGAUUAUUAAAGAGCUAGCCAACUUUUCAUUAUGGUGUAGUAACUUCUUGGGAGGCCAAAAAUAACACGGUUGAAAAGCUUGGAGCCUGCCGUUUUAUCUUUUAUAAAAUUUUCACCAAUUACUUGGUUUCUCUGAGCAUCAGUUUUCUUAUCUGUAAAAUCUGGAAUAAAAAU